GAUGAACGCUGGCGGCGUGCCUAAUACAUGCAAGUCGAGCGAACAGACGAGGAGCUUGCUCCUCUGACGUUAGCGGCGGACGGGUGAGUAACACGUGGAUAACCUACCUAUAAGACUGGGAUAACUUCGGGAAACCGGAGCUAAUACCGGAUAAUAUAUUGAACCGCAUGGUUCAAUAGUGAAAGACGGUUUUGCUGUCACUUAUAGAUGGAUCCGCGCCGCAUUAGCUAGUUGGUAAGGUAACGGCUUACCAAGGCAACGAUGCGUAGCCGACCUGAGAGGGUGAUCGGCCACACUGGAACUGGGACGCGGUCCAGACUCCUACGGGAGGCAGCAGUAGGGAAUCUUCGGCAAUAGGCGAAAGCUUGACGGAGCAACGCCGCGUGAGUGAUGAAGGUCUUCGGAUCGUAAAACUCUGUUAUUAGGGAAGAACAAAUGUGUAAGUAACUAUGCACGUCUUGACGGUACCGAAUCAGAAAGCCACGGCUAACUACGUG
Molecule: ribosomal RNA, 497 nt
Filed under: uncultured bacterium
Lineage: Bacteria
Description: partial 16S ribosomal RNA
Rfam family: Bacterial small subunit ribosomal RNA
Source: RNAcentral